This 314-nucleotide unclassified non-coding RNA is filed under the name uncultured fungus. Its description in RNAcentral is "partial contains small subunit ribosomal RNA, internal transcribed spacer 1, and 5.8S ribosomal RNA". The stretch from base 1 to 73 matches the Rfam family "Eukaryotic small subunit ribosomal RNA", at positions 1759 to 1831 of the family's 1831-position model. Lineage: Eukaryota; Fungi. The record is from RNAcentral.
ACAAACUUGGUCAUUUAGAGGAAGUAAAAGUCGUAACAAGGUUUCCGUAGGUGAACCUGCGGAAGGAUCAUUACUGAGAGAGGGUGGUAAACAGCCCGCCCGACCUCCAACCCAGUGUCUACCUGACCUUUAUUGCUUCGGCAGGCCCGCCGCUUUGGUGGCCGCUGGGGGCGUAUACGUCCCGGGUCCGCGCCUGUCGGUAGCCCCCCAUAACUUCUGGCGAAACAAUGUUGUCUGAAUAAUCUAUUAAAACAAAAUAUACCAAAACUUUCAACAACGGAUCUCUUGGUUCUGGCAUCGAUGAAGAACGCAGC